This 776-nucleotide ribosomal RNA is filed under the name uncultured Neocallimastigales. RNAcentral's name for it is "partial large subunit ribosomal RNA". It matches the Rfam family "Eukaryotic large subunit ribosomal RNA", at positions 20 to 649 of the family's 3401-position model. The record is from RNAcentral. Lineage: Eukaryota; Fungi; Neocallimastigomycota; Neocallimastigomycetes; Neocallimastigales.
UACUAGAGUAGCACUCGCAUAUCAAUAAGCGGAGGAAAAGAAACUAACAAGGAUUCCCCUAGUUAACGGCGAGUGAAGCGGGAAGAGCUCAAAUUUGAAAUCUUAAAGGGUUUCCCUUUACGAAUUGUAGUUUAAAGAAGUGUUUUCUGUUGAGGUUUUGGUAAAAGUUCUUUGGAAUAGGACAUCAUAGAGGGUGAGAAUCCCGUAUUUGACCUUUACUUUCAACUUUGUGAUACACUUUCAAAGAGUCGGAUUGUUUGGGAAUGCAGUCCAAAAUGGGUGGUAAAUUUCAUCUAAAGCUAAAUAUUGGCGAGAGACCGAUAGCGAACAAGUACCGUGAGGGAAAGAUGAAAAGAACUUUGAAAAGAGAGUUAAACAGUACGUGAAAUUGUCAAAAGGGAAGCGUUUGACACCAGUGUUGUUUUUCUGAAAAUCAAUUAAAGAACUGUUUAUGCUAAGCUUGUUUAGACUUUAUCAGCUAUCUGUUUAGUUUUGAGCUUUUCUUUAAUGCACUUUUCAGUUAACAAGUCAACAUCAAUUUCUUUUGCUGUAAAAAAGCUUGAGGAGGGUGGCUUGAGAUUCGUCUUAAGUGUUUAUAGCCUCUUGCCUAUGCAGUCGGAGAGAUUGAGGUCUGCAGCGUAGAUCCUUCGGGGCUAAAUGCAUUUGUGCUAAGUUAUAGCAUUUUAUAGACAACUUGUUGACUAUGAUUUGUCUUGUAGCUUACUCGCUUAUGUUAUUUUACCUACGCUUAGGAUGUUGAGUAGCGACAUACGCAC